This 254-nucleotide ribosomal RNA is filed under the name uncultured bacterium. RNAcentral describes it as "partial 16S ribosomal RNA". It matches the Rfam family "Bacterial small subunit ribosomal RNA", at positions 524 to 776 of the family's 1533-position model. The record is from RNAcentral.
UACAGAGGUCUCAAGCGUUGUUCGGAUUCAUUGGGCGUAAAGGGUGCGUAGGCGGCGCGGUAAGUCGGGUGUGAAAUCUUGGAGCUUAACUCCGAAACUGCAUUCGAUACUGCCGUGCUUGAGGACUGGAGAGGAGACUGGAAUUUACGGUGUAGCGGUGAAAUGCGUAGAUAUCUGGAGGAACACCGGUGGCGAAGGCGGCAUCCUGGACCAAUUCUGACGCUGAGUGAGCGAAAGCCAGGGGAGCAAACGGG